This 440-nucleotide ribosomal RNA is filed under the name uncultured bacterium. Its description in RNAcentral is "partial 16S ribosomal RNA". It matches the Rfam family "Bacterial small subunit ribosomal RNA", at positions 338 to 795 of the family's 1533-position model. The record is from RNAcentral.
CCUACGGGAGGCAGCAGUGGGGAAUAUUGCACAAUGGGGGAAACCCUGAUGCAGCGACGCCGCGUGAGUGAAGAAGUAUUUCGGUAUGUAAAGCUCUAUCAGCAGGGAAGAAAAUGACGGUACCUGACUAAUAAGCCCCGGCUAACUACGUGCCAGCAGCCGCGGUAAUACGUAGGGGGCAAGCGUUAUCCGGAUUUACUGGGGGUAAAGGGAGCGUAGACGGCCAGACAAGUCAGAAGGGAAAGCCCCGGGCUUAACUCUGGGACUGCUUUUGAAACUGGCGGGCUGGAGUGCAGGAGAGGUAAGCGGAAUUCCUAGUGUAGCGGUGAAAUGCGUAGAUAUUAGGAGGAACACCAGUGGCGAAGGCGGCUUACUGGACUGUAACUGACGUUGAGGCUCGAAAGCGUGGGGAGCAAACAGGAUUAGAUACCCCAGUAGUC